CCUAGGGGGGCAGCAGUGAGGAAUUUUGCGCAAUGGGGGAAACCCUGACGCAGCAACGCCGCGUGAGCGAAGAAGGCCUUCGGGUCGUAAAGCUCUGUCAAGUGGGAAAAAAAUUCUUUGAUGAACAGUCAAAGGACUUGAUGGUACCACUGGAGGAAGCACCGGCUAACGCCGUGCCAGCAGCCGCGGUAAUACGGAGGGUGCAAGCGUUGUUCGGAAUUACUGGGCGUAAAGAGCGUGUAGGCGGUUUGACAAGUCAGAUGUGAAAGCCCCGGGCUCAACCCGGGAAGUGCAUUUGAAACGGUUUCACUAGAGUAUGGGAAAGGAGAUUGGAAUUCCUGGUGUAGAGGUGAAAUUCGUAGAUAUCAGGAGGAACACCCGUGGCGAAGGCGAUUCUCUGGACCAAUACUGACGCUGAGACGCGAAAGCGUGGGGAGCAAACAGGAUUAGAUACCCCCGUAGUC
RNAcentral lists this ribosomal RNA (464 nucleotides) under uncultured bacterium. RNAcentral's name for it is "partial 16S ribosomal RNA". It matches the Rfam family "Bacterial small subunit ribosomal RNA", at positions 338 to 795 of the family's 1533-position model. The record is from RNAcentral.